CUUGUUGCUUCUGCUGCUGGUACUAUACAUCUUCAAAUUUCUGUACUAUGAGGUAGUCAAGGGGUAGUUGUUUUAGCUAAAAUUCUGUUCUAUUAUAUGUUUUAUGUUCUAUCAAAUUCAGCUGGAAUGAAUAUUGGUGAUAUCACAAUUUGGGAAGUAGGUAGGAGGGAGAGGCUUGUUUCUCAAAACUUCAAUGUUUGGGACAUUUGAGCCUGUUCAACGGCCUUGGAAGUUUGACAAAUAUCUGCAGACUGACAUAACUAGUAUAUAACUUUUUAAGUUGGAGAAUAUGCGCUAGGAAAAUUUAUGAGGCUAAUAAUCUCUAUUUCACUAGGUGAUAGGCGUUGUUGGCCAAUAAUUAUGAUUAUAUGUAAACCAUGUGAUGUGGAGUCCUAAUGGUACCGUUUUUGGAAUGUUACUUUGAGGGGAUUUAUUUAUUGGUUUUUUAUUAUUAAAUUACCAUUUGUCCCAAAAGUUUAAAGUAUUAGGAAAGUGUGAAUCCAAUCAUUUGACCAUUGUUCUCCUUCGUGUGGGUUAAACCAUUGUUAUAAAAUUUAUAACUUUCCAUAUCAGGCAUUGUAUAUUCGGAAGACAUAGUGCAGAUAUAUUCCUAUGAUAGUGGUGAUGAUUUGCAGUACCAUCUAUGACGCUAACUGGUUUUUUCAGCCCCUUUUUUUAAUAAUUGUGUAUUUGCCAAGGAAAUUUUUUUUUCUCAGAUCGAUGCUCAUCUCGGUAAGGUUAAUGAUCUCACCUUUUCACAUCAAAACAGAAAACUAUGCAUCAUUACUUUUGGAGAGGACAAGACUGUUAUGGUUUACUUUACUUGGCAUAUUCUUUCGGUAUAAAAACAAUGUUGGACAGCAUUUGUGAAAGUUCAUUUUUGUGCAGGUGUGGAAUGCUGUCACUGGUAAUAAGCUUUACACUUUUGAAGGGCAUAAAGCACCAGCUUACUCCAUGUGCCCUCAUAAUAAGGAAAACCUUCAUGCUAUUCAUAUGUGAGACUAGUAAAGGACAACCAUACCUUGUGGAAUUGGAUGAACGUUAGACAUCUAUCAAGCUUGUAUAUCAUGGUUUUUGGAAGCGGUCUGUGGUGGCUGUGCCAUUUGAUACAAUGAAGAAACCGGUUCCUGGCUACUAGAUAUGCGUUCAAAUUAAAAUUUUGGGACAUGGACAAUGGUUACCUCUUGACAAUUACAGCCACAGAGGGUAGAUAACUGGCUGCUCCUUGCAUUCAAUUUUACAAGGAAGGUAUACUGCUUGCUGUAUCAACAAGUGAAAAUGGAAUCAAAAUACUUGCAAAUGCUGAAGGUGUAUGGCUUCUGCAUUCUAUUGAAAAUCAAGCUGUUGAUACCUCCAGAGUGGAUCCUGCAACUAUCGCAAAGGGACUGGUAAUUAUCUCCUUUGGUGCUUCCUAUUCAACUGCUGGAACAAGCACUUGAUAUUAGUCCAAGUCCACAGAAACACUGAAGUUUUUUAUUUUCCAAAGAAUUUUCUUAUCAAUAUUAUCAGAAGAAUAUUUCAGGAGCUAAAAUUUUUAUUGACGUGUAUGCCUAUGUUCAGUUGACAUGUCUGAAUCUAGAGGAAAAGGUGCCUUCCGUGGAAGAUCUUGCUUAGGCCUAAAGCACGUCUGUUAUGUAAAUGUCUUUUGUUGUGCUUUCUAUCAUACGUUUAUUUUUUUGGUAGUCUAAGAUGUUGUUAGCAAUGGCAUCAAUGUUACAGAUUUCUUAAUCA
Molecule: long non-coding RNA, 1731 nt
Organism: Quercus robur (English oak)
Lineage: Eukaryota; Viridiplantae; Streptophyta; Magnoliopsida; Fagales; Fagaceae
Exons: 4
Source: RefSeq, a predicted model, not a curated record